RNAcentral lists this transfer RNA (72 nucleotides) under Myxococcales bacterium. RNAcentral's name for it is "tRNA-Phe". It matches the Rfam family "tRNA". From Rfam's summary of the family: Transfer RNA (tRNA) molecules are approximately 80 nucleotides in length. Their secondary structure includes four short double-helical elements and three loops (D, anti-codon, and T loops). The record is from RNAcentral. Lineage: Bacteria; Pseudomonadati; Myxococcota; Myxococcia; Myxococcales.
GCCUCGGUAGCUCAGUCGGCAGAGCAUCCGGCCGAAACCCGGUGCGCGGCGGUUCGAUCCCGCCCCGAGGCA